AGAAAUGUGAUGACUAGGAAAAGUAAGUCAUAAUAGCCUUACAGAGAGCUGGGGGAUGGUGGAACCCGGUAGGCAGACUGACUGAAAUACACCUAUGAGCAGCAGGCUGAAAGUAUAUUAUUAGUAAGCCGGGCCGGAGCGCCACCGUUAUUUGGCUAGGAAGAAGUUUUUUAACUUCGCUUGAGUGGCUAAUUGUCAGCAACAAGGGUGGUACCACGGGUUUAUUCCCGUCCCUGAC
This 238-nucleotide non-coding RNA is filed under the name Sporomusa malonica. RNAcentral describes it as "T-box sequence". It matches the Rfam family "T-box leader". Rfam says of the family: Uncharged tRNA acts as the effector for transcription antitermination of genes in the T-box leader family. T-boxes are found upstream of many aminoacyl-tRNA synthetase genes and some amino acid biosynthetic genes usually in Gram-positive bacteria. Lineage: Bacteria; Bacillati; Bacillota; Negativicutes; Selenomonadales; Sporomusaceae. The record is from RNAcentral.